RNAcentral lists this ribosomal RNA (251 nucleotides) under Acinetobacter haemolyticus. Its description in RNAcentral is "partial 16S ribosomal RNA". It matches the Rfam family "Bacterial small subunit ribosomal RNA", at positions 1284 to 1533 of the family's 1533-position model. The record is from RNAcentral. Lineage: Bacteria; Pseudomonadati; Pseudomonadota; Gammaproteobacteria; Moraxellales; Moraxellaceae.
GAUCGUAGUCCGGAUUGGAGUCUGCAACUCGACUCCAUGAAGUCGGAAUCGCUAGUAAUCGCGGAUCAGAAUGCCGCGGUGAAUACGUUCCCGGGCCUUGUACACACCGCCCGUCACACCAUGGGAGUUUGUUGCACCAGAAGUAGGUAGUCUAACCGCAAGGAGGACGCUUACCACGGUGUGGCCGAUGACUGGGGUGAAGUCGUAACAAGGUAGCCGUAGGGGAACCUGCGGCUGGAUCACCUCCUUAA